Pantherophis guttatus is the source of this 430-nucleotide non-coding RNA. Lineage: Eukaryota; Metazoa; Chordata; Lepidosauria; Squamata; Colubridae. The record is from RefSeq and is a predicted model, not a curated record.
CAGAGGGGCCCCUCUCUGAUAAUCUUCUGGAGGAUUGUGAAAACCCAAUUCUUUUGUAGAUGGAUGAGGAAAAAGGGAAUGGACACAAGAUGCUGUGUUUUAUUAAAGACACAUAGGAAGAAGAGGCAACAGCUUUGCCAAAAACUCUUCCACCAUGGUAUUUGAGAGAAUCAUCUCUUUUCUGCUUCAGGGAGCUGGAAAACCUAAAAAGCUUAUUAUUCUUCAACAGACCCAUGUUGGGAGCGAUCCCUGCCUUCAUGAAUUGUGAUCUGGAAGCCAUAUCCUCGUCUCUCGAAUGUUAUAUUUCUUUUAAACCAUUUUAAUGAGAGAGAGAGAGAAAGAAAGAAAGAAAACAAUUUGGAAAGUUGCCAUACUGAGAAGCAAAGCACCGGUGUUUUCUAUUAUUUUUAUUUCCAAGAAUGCUCGUGGA